RNAcentral lists this transfer RNA (89 nucleotides) under Acidobacteriota bacterium. RNAcentral describes it as "tRNA-Leu". It matches the Rfam family "tRNA". Rfam says of the family: Transfer RNA (tRNA) molecules are approximately 80 nucleotides in length. Their secondary structure includes four short double-helical elements and three loops (D, anti-codon, and T loops). The record is from RNAcentral. Lineage: Bacteria; Pseudomonadati; Acidobacteriota.
GCCCGGAUGGCGAAACUGGCAGACGCAGCGGACUUAAAAUCCGCAGGCCUUAACCGGCCGUGGGGGUUCAAGUCCCCCUCCGGGCACCA